This 431-nucleotide ribosomal RNA is filed under the name uncultured bacterium. RNAcentral describes it as "partial 16S ribosomal RNA". It matches the Rfam family "Bacterial small subunit ribosomal RNA", at positions 338 to 795 of the family's 1533-position model. The record is from RNAcentral.
CCUACGGGUGGCAGCAGUGGGGAAUCUUAGACAAUGGGCGCAAGCCUGAUCUAGCCAUGCCGCGUGAUCGAUGAAGGCCUUAGGGUUGUAAAGAUCUUUCGUGGGGGAAGCGGUACCCCAAGAAGAAGCCCCGGCUAACUCCGUGCCAGCAGCCGCGGUAAUACGGAGGGGGCUAGCGUUAUUCGGAAUUACUGGGCGUAAAGCGCACGUAGGCGGAUUGGAAAGUCAGAGGUGAAAUCCCAGAGCUCAACUUUGGAACUGCCUUUGAAACUCCCAGUCUUGAGGUCGAGAGAGGUGAGUGGAAUUCCGAGUGUAGAGGUGAAAUUCGUAGAUAUUCGGAGGAACACCAGUGGCGAAGGCGGCUCACUGGCUCGUCUGACGCUGAGGUGCGAAAGCGUGGGGAGCAAACAGGAUUAGAUACCCUUGUAGUC